CAUGCAAGUCGAGCGGUAGCACAGAGAGCUUGCUCUCGGGUGACGAGCGGCGGACGGGUGAGUAAUGUCUGGGAAACUGCCUGAUGGAGGGGGAUAACUACUGGAAACGGUAGCUAAUACCGCAUAACGUCGCAAGACCAAAGUGGGGGACCUUCGGGCCUCAUGCCAUCAGAUGUGCCCAGAUGGGAUUAGCUAGUAGGUGGGGUAACGGCUCACCUAGGCGACGAUCCCUAGCUGGUCUGAGAGGAUGACCAGCCACACUGGAACUGAGACACGGUCCAGACUCCUACGGGAGGCAGCAGUGGGGAAUAUUGCACAAUGGGCGCAAGCCUGAUGCAGCCAUGCCGCGUGUGUGAAGAAGGCCUUCGGGUUGUAAAGCACUUUCAGCGGGGAGGAAGGCGUUAAGGUUAAUAACCUUGUCGAUUGACGUUACCCGCAGAAGAAGCACCGGCUAACUCCGUGCCAGCAGCCGCGGUAAUACGGAGGGUGCAAGCGUUAAUCGGAAUUACUGGGCGUAAAGCGCACGCAGGCGGUCUGUCAAGUCGGAUGUGAAAUCCCCGGGCUCAACCUGGGAACUGCAUUCGAAACUGGCAGGCUAGAGUCUUGUAGAGGGGGGUAGAAUUCCAGGUGUAGCGGUGAAAUGCGUAGAGAUCUGGAGGAAUACCCGGUGGCGAAGGCGGCCCCCUGGACAAAGACUGACGCUCAGGUGCGAAAGCGUGGGGAGCAAACAGGAUUAGAUACCCUGGUAGUCCACGCCGUAAACGAUGUCGAUUUGGAGGUUGUGCCCUUGAGGCGUGGCUUCCGGAGCUAACGCGUUAAAUCGACCGCCUGGGGAGUACGGCCGCAAGGUUAAAACUCAAAUGAAUUGACGGGGGCCCGCACAAGCGGUGGAGCAUGUGGUUUAAUUCGAUGCAACGCGAAGAACCUUACCUGGUCUUGACAUCCACAGAACUUUCCAGAGAUGGAUUGGUGCCUUCGGGAACUGUGAGACAGGUGCUGCAUGGCUGUCGUCAGCUCGUGUUGUGAAAUGUUGGGUUAAGUCCCGCAACGAGCGCAACCCUUAUCCUUUGUUGCCAGCGGUUAGGCCGGGAACUCAAAGGAGACUGCCAGUGAUAAACUGGAGGAAGGUGGGGAUGACGUCAAGUCAUCAUGGCCCUUACGACCAGGGCUACACACGUGCUACAAUGGCAUAUACAAAGAGAAGCGACCUCGCGAGAGCAAGCGGACCUCAUAAAGUAUGUCGUAGUCCGGAUUGGAGUCUGCAACUCGACUCCAUGAAGUCGGAAUCGCUAGUAAUCGUAGAUCAGAAUGCUACGGUGAAUACGUUCCCGGGCCUUGUACACACCGCCCGUCACACCAUGGGAGUGGGUUGCAAAAGAAGUAGGUAGCUUAACCUUCGGGAGGGCGCUUACCAC
This 1415-nucleotide ribosomal RNA is filed under the name Klebsiella pneumoniae. Its description in RNAcentral is "16S ribosomal RNA". It matches the Rfam family "Bacterial small subunit ribosomal RNA". The record is from RNAcentral. Lineage: Bacteria; Pseudomonadati; Pseudomonadota; Gammaproteobacteria; Enterobacterales; Enterobacteriaceae.